RNAcentral lists this transfer RNA (66 nucleotides) under Docosaccus maculatus. Its description in RNAcentral is "tRNA-Cys". The record is from RNAcentral. Lineage: Eukaryota; Metazoa; Porifera; Hexactinellida; Lyssacinosida; Euplectellidae.
ACAAUAAAGCAUAAAAAAUGCAUCAAUUUGCAAAAUUGAAAACUGUGAAAAUACUCACUACUGUCU